CGAGGCCAGGGGCGAGCGCUGAGGGCCGGCCGGGCAGCCCCCGGACACGGGCACGGGCAGCCGCGCCCCCUCCUCCGCCCUCCCGGGCUGGGCUCUAGGACGCGGGGGCCGAGCAGCGGCAGUCCGCCGGUCCGUCGGUCAGUCCGUCCGUCUGCCCGUCGCAGGCUGCAGCGCACGGUCACCCCCAGCCCACACCUCGGCCUCCCGCAGCGCAGCCCAGCCUUGCCCAGCCUGCCUAGUCCGCUCCGGCCCCGCUCCCUGGGCUCUAGCAGCCGCCGCCGCCGCCGCCGCCGCCGCCGCCGCCGCCGUGUCCGAGGCCCCGCCCCGGCCGGGCCGCGAGCGCUGAUUGGUCUCUGCACGGGAACAAAGAACUUUUCCCCAAAACAGGAAGCAUGGAGUAGUGAGUAGAGGGUGCACGCAGGAGGCAGCAAGUCUUGGAGUCAAGCCCCAUCACGGAUCCAUGUUGGCUACGUCACCCCAGGCACACGGAAAUUCUCAGUAGCCUGGACUUGCCACGGACUUAGCAAGUCAUAAAUGCUUUAUCUAUGUGUUCAGUGCACUUAGACCAGAAAUUGUUGAAAAGGGGCUGACCUGCAUUAGUAUCAGGAGUUUCCUCAUCCAGGAAUUUUCUACGCUAAUGAAAUCCAGUUCCUAUCUCUGCUUGCUAUCCCUAACCUUCAUUUCCCUUUGAAAUUCUAAUUAGCUAAUUGAUCAUUGCUCUACCUCCUACGCUGGCCCAGAGUUCCGAGAGAGCCACACAGGCCUACCCAAGGGAAAAAUAUCCUUUGAGCUGUAGCUACAGUGACCAGAGCAGCAGCACCCCACCCCCCACGGGGGAAACCCAGCCAGUGGCAGAAAGUUCUGCAUCCUCGUUUUGGGCUGGAUUGAAUACAAGACAGGACUGGUGAUAUGUGAUACAUUUUCAUUUGGAAAGACAAGCAUAGGAUUACAGUAACAUUGUUCUCUUUUCAUGAGCCUCAGUUGGCCAGUAAUGUCAUCCUUCUCCUCUGCCAUUUCUUCUGACAACCUUUUCAUGUUAAUUAUUCAGAAGAACCCCAAGCCUUUGCACGGAGUCACUGUGAGUGUUAGAUUCAGUUAGCCUCUCGGCUGAAUAAAUUCUUAUAGGUAUUAAAAUAGGAAGUCA
Molecule: long non-coding RNA, 1144 nt
Filed under: Phascolarctos cinereus (koala)
Lineage: Eukaryota; Metazoa; Chordata; Mammalia; Diprotodontia; Phascolarctidae
Description: lncRNA (ENSPCIG00000036287.1)
Source: RNAcentral